Molecule: small nucleolar RNA, 136 nt
Organism: Artibeus jamaicensis (Jamaican fruit-eating bat)
Lineage: Eukaryota; Metazoa; Chordata; Mammalia; Chiroptera; Phyllostomidae
Product: small nucleolar RNA SNORA67
Exons: 1
Source: RefSeq, a predicted model, not a curated record
AUAUAAAAGUAUCUGCCUCCCCUUAGUGUCCCUCUUCAGGAAAGUAGCAACUUGUAAUAAGAUCUGGCAUGCCACAGCUUUUCAGGGCAGAAGGUCGUGUGUAAUUUCCUUUGCCUUUCUUUGGCUGCCUACGUGU